Molecule: ribosomal RNA, 255 nt
Filed under: uncultured bacterium
Lineage: Bacteria
Description: partial 16S ribosomal RNA
Rfam family: Bacterial small subunit ribosomal RNA
Source: RNAcentral
CGGACGGGUGAGUAACGCGUGGAAAACCUGCCGUAUACUGGGGGAUAACACUUAGAAAUAGGUGCUGAUACCGCAUAAGCGCACAGCUUCGCAUGAAGCGGUGUGAAAAACUCUGGUGGUAUACGAUGGUUCCGCGUCUGAUUAGCUAGUUGGUGGGGUAAUGGCCUACCAAGGCAACGAUCAGUAGCCGGCCUGAGAGGGUGAACGGCCACAUUGGGACUGAGACACGGCCCAAACUCCUACGGAAGGCAGCAG